GGCAUAGCCUGCUGCUCCUCCCCUUGCCUCUGUUUUCAGGGUAAGGAGCCAACCUCACCGAUAUGGAAUGGCCAGCGUCUAUAAGGAAAGGGAAUUUUGGUGGCUGUUCCUGUGCCUAAAAUGUAGCCAUCUCUUCCAGCUCCUCCACAGCCCUUUAAUGAGAGUGCCCCGUAGGCUGCUGGGCCCCUGUGGGCAGGGUUCACGUGCAGGGCUUAAAGACUUCAUUAGCAGACAGUAACCCGCACCUGUCCAGCCCAGGAGCGCCAUUUCCCACUUCCAGGGCCUGAGCAAGAAACGCCGACCUGAGCUCCUGAGAGUGGAUUUUUCUUCUCCUUUCUGACCCAAGACAGAGAGGUGAUUUCACGGCAGAUGGCUCCACACUGGAGCGCUCAGCAUCGAACUCUGCUCCUGCAGCAGUUGGACGGCACAGACCUGCCCGGGAGCUUUGGUCAGACAGGCCCAGCCCAUGGAGAUAUUCUGGGCCCUGAGCACACAUUUUAGAACAAAGGAGAGGAGCGUGGGAGGAUGGCCUUCCUCGCAAGCCUGAAGGAUAGCGGGAAAUGCACGUAAGCAGAGAUGUGUGAGCACAGGAGACCCCAGCAAUACGUCUCGGCCAGUUGGAGCUGUCUCACAUGCUCAAGGCUCUCAAGGUGCCCCAUGAAUGCAGAAUUCCAGGGGACCCAUGAUGCAUGGGAAUCCAGUGAGACCCAGCCUCAACACAAGGCAAAAAGAAGGCAGUGCUAUUGCAAGAAGCAGGAACAUCUAAGGAAGUCAACUCUAUCCUUUCUUACUCAUGUUACUUCUCUGGAUUCGCCAACCACUCGUGCAGAUGACUUGAUGACUCCACAUACAAGUUAAAUGCUCUUAUGUGCAUUUAAAACUGGCAUUGCCCAAUUUAAUGGCCAGUAAAAUUGACAGUAAUAAUUAAAAAUUUUAAUUUAAUGACAUUAAGUAGAAAUAAAAAAAACACCAAUACUCUAGAGAGAGACACUGGAGGAAGGAAAAAGCUUUGUUUAAGUUCCUCGAAUGGUAUCUUUUCCCCCUGCUUUUUGAAUAAAGGGUCCCUCGAUUUUUGCCUUGCACAGGGCUUUGCAGUUUGAGUAGCUGCCUCUGAAGCCAGUG
Molecule: long non-coding RNA, 1122 nt
Organism: Bos taurus (domestic cattle)
Lineage: Eukaryota; Metazoa; Chordata; Mammalia; Artiodactyla; Bovidae
Source: Ensembl